This 523-nucleotide ribosomal RNA is filed under the name uncultured bacterium. RNAcentral's name for it is "bacterial SSU rRNA". It matches the Rfam family "Bacterial small subunit ribosomal RNA", at positions 777 to 1297 of the family's 1533-position model. The record is from RNAcentral.
AAUAGAUACCCGGGUAGUCCACGCCGUAAACGAUGAGUGCUAAGUGUUAGAGGGUUUCCGCCCUUUAGUGCUGCAGCUAACGCAUUAAGCACUCCGCCUGGGGAGUACGGCCGCAAGGCUGAAACUCAAAGGAAUUGACGGGGGCCCGCACAAGCGGUGGAGCAUGUGGUUUAAUUCGAAGCAACGCGAAGAACCUUACCAGGUCUUGACAUCCUCUGCCAACCCUAGAGAUAGGGCGUUCCCCUUCGGGGGACAGAGUGACAGGUGGUGCAUGGUUGUCGUCAGCUCGUGUCGUGAGAUGUUGGGUUAAGUCCCGCAACGAGCGCAACCCUUGAUCUUAGUUGCCAGCAUUCAGUUGGGCACUCUAAGGUGACUGCCGGUGACAAACCGGAGGAAGGUGGGGAUGACGUCAAAUCAUCAUGCCCCUUAUGACCUGGGCUACACACGUGCUACAAUGGAUGGUACAAAGAGCUGCGAACCCGCGAGGGUUAGGCGAAUCUCAUAAAGCCAUUCUCAGUUCGGA